Molecule: small RNA, 125 nt
Filed under: Marmota monax (woodchuck)
Lineage: Eukaryota; Metazoa; Chordata; Mammalia; Rodentia; Sciuridae
Source: RNAcentral
GCCUGGCACAGUGGUGCACGCCUGUAAUCCCAGCAGCUCAGGAGGCUGAAACAGGAGGAUUGCGAGUUCAGAGCCAGCCUCAACAACAGCAAGAUGCUGAGCAACUCAGUGAGACCCUGUCUCUA